UAGGGAAUCUUCGGCAAUGGACGAAAGUCUGACCGAGCAACGCCGCGUGAGUGAAGAAGGUUUUCGGAUCGUAAAACUCUGUUGUUAGAGAAGUACAAGGACGUUAGUAACUGAACGUCCCCUGACGGUAUCUAACCAGAAAGCCACGGCUAACUACGUGCCAGCAGCCGCGGUAAUACGUAGGUGGCAAGCGUUGUCCGGAUUUAUUGGGCGUAAAGCGAGCGCAGGCGGUUUCUUAAGUCUGAUGUGAAAGCCCCCGGCUCAACCGGGGAGGGUCAUUGGAAACUGGGAGACUUGAGUGCAGAAGAGGAGAGUGGAAUUCCAUGUGUAGCGGUGAAAUGCGUAGAUAUAUGGAGGAACACCAGUGGCGAAGGCGGCUCUCUGGUCUGUAACUGACGCUGAGGCUCGAAAGCGUGGGGAGCAAACAGG
This 429-nucleotide ribosomal RNA is filed under the name Gemmatimonadota bacterium. RNAcentral describes it as "Gemmatimonadetes bacterium partial 16S ribosomal RNA". It matches the Rfam family "Bacterial small subunit ribosomal RNA", at positions 355 to 776 of the family's 1533-position model. The record is from RNAcentral. Lineage: Bacteria; Pseudomonadati; Gemmatimonadota.